Hyaena hyaena (striped hyena) is the source of this 107-nucleotide small nuclear RNA. The record is from RefSeq and is a predicted model, not a curated record. Lineage: Eukaryota; Metazoa; Chordata; Mammalia; Carnivora; Hyaenidae.
AUGCUCAUUUUGGCCACAUAUGCACUAAAACUGGAACAAUACAGAGAAGAUUAGCAUGACCUCUGUGUAAAGAUGACACACAAAUUCAGAAAGCAUUCCAUAUUUUU